RNAcentral lists this ribosomal RNA (497 nucleotides) under uncultured bacterium. RNAcentral's name for it is "partial 16S ribosomal RNA". It matches the Rfam family "Bacterial small subunit ribosomal RNA", at positions 28 to 507 of the family's 1533-position model. The record is from RNAcentral.
GAUGAACGCUGGCGGCGUGCCUAAUACAUGCAAGUCGAGCGAACAGACGAGGAGCUUGCUCCUCUGACGUUAGCGGCGGACGGGUGAGUAACACGUGGAUCACCUACCUAUAAGACUGGUAUAACUUCGGGAAACCGGUGCUAAUACCGGAUAAUAUAUUGAACCGCAUGGUUCAAUAGUGACAGACGGUUUUGCUGUCACUUCUAGAUGUAUCCGCGCGGCAUUAGCUAGUUGGUACGGUAACGGCUUACCAUGGCAACGCUGCGUAGCCGACCUGCGAGGGUGAUCGGCCACACUGGAACUGAGACACGGUCCAGGCUCCUACGGGAGGCAGCAGUAGGGAAUCUACCGCAAUGGGCGAAAGCUUGACGGAGCAACGCCGCGUGAGUGAUGAAGGGCUUCGGAUCGUAAAACUCUGUUAGUAGGGAAGAACAAAUGUGGAAGGAACGAUGCACGUCUUGACGGUACCUAAACAGAAAGCCACGGCUAACUACGUG